This 2918-nucleotide long non-coding RNA is filed under the name Podarcis lilfordi (Lilford's wall lizard). Lineage: Eukaryota; Metazoa; Chordata; Lepidosauria; Squamata; Lacertidae. The record is from RNAcentral.
AGAGGUUGGAUCGCCAUCUGAUAUGGAUGCUUUAGCUGACAUUCCUGCAUUGCAGGGGUUUGGAAUAGUUGGCCCUUGGGUCCCUUCCAACUCUACGAUUCAAAGAUGUGCACCAUGCUCCAUAACUCUGGAGGAAAGGUCUGUGAUGCUACAAAAUUCUACCCAAUCAUUGUUUUGAAAUAGGGGCAUUUGGAUACAAGGGAAGGGUUUAGCACUAGACUGUUCAUCCCGUGACUAGUGAGGAGACAGUGUUUAUUGGCUUUUCAAUACCUUAUAGGCUUUUGCUCCCUGGAAUCUAGAGGAAACUUGACAUCCUGGACACUAGCCAUUCAGUUUGAGCUCUAUGAAAACUGCUUUGAAAUUGAUCUGUAAUGGUAAGUGGUAUGGAAACAUAUUUAUUGAAAUAGAAAUAAAUAAUCAGGGAUAGAAGAAAGGGGGGAGGAAACAUGAAGCUUCUUAGGAAGCAGGCAGUGGGGAGAAACGCUUAUUUGUGAGAGUGGUUCAUACCUGAGCUAUUUUUCCAUACGGAAAAAGUUAUACAUUUUGAGUCAACCAUUGGAAAUUGCAAGUAUACUGCUGAGUUGGCUCUGACUGAGCAUCCUUUUCACAUCAGGCAGCAGAGUUUGGGUUUCUAAAGUUUUAGGGUGGUAUUCAGCUAAGGCUUACUUGGAAUAGACUCACUGUCAUUGGGUCCAUUAAUUUCAGUGGGUCUACUCUGAAAUAAAGGGACGCAGGUGGCGCUGUGGUCUAAACCACAGAGCCUAGGGCUUGCCGAUCAGAAGGUCGGUGGUUCGAAUCCCCACGACGGGGUGAGCUCCUGUUGUUCGGUCCCUGCUCCUGCCAACCUGGCAGUUCAAAAGCACGUCAAAGUGCAAGUAGAUAAAUGGGUACCGCUCCAGCGGGAAGGUAAACGGCAUUUCCGUGUGCUGCUCUGGUUCUCCAGAAGUGGCUUAGUCAUGCUGGCCACAUGACCCAGAAGCUGUCUGCGGACAAACGCUGGCUCCCUCGGCCUAUAGAGCGAGAUGAGCGCACAACCCCAGAGUCGUCCGCGACUGGACCUAAUGGUCAGGGGUACCUUUACCUUUAUUCUGAAUAAAACAUAUUUAAAGACCAUCCUUAUUCCCCAUCUACUUAGUACUCUGACAUUCUCCAGACCACCAUUUUGUCAAGCCUCCCUCAGUCUACAGUUCACACUGGCUUUGUCUUCAUCUGCCUUUGCUUCAGCUCCCAUCUCUAGCUAAAAAUAAGCUUGAGUCUGUGCACCUGCAUUCACAUUUGCUGAUAUUCAUCCUUGUUACCUUUGCCUCCUUUUCACAAUCACCUACCCCAUUGUUGCAAGGUAGAUUUUAAAAGCUUUAAGGCAUAUAUAUAUCUCAUUCCCCAACCUCUUCUGAUGGCCCUAAACUUUUAAAUCAUUCCUAAAUAUAAAACAACUUUUAAAUAAUUCAUUUUAGUAUUAUUGCAAUGUGGAACGGUACCUUUUUCUCUACAGUUUAGUUGUCAAGUUUGUUUGCAGGCUAUGGGUGAAUAAAUGAAUAUAGGCAUCUCUUGAUUAAACAUCGAUUUGCAUUGAUCUUUAUUCAAAUGGAUUGAAAGAAACCUCCUCAAAAUUGAACUAUUCUGCCAGAGAACACCCUAUUUACUUCAAGUUCUAAAGUGUGUGCAUGUAUACAGGCCCAGAAAACCUUUUUUUUUAUCGUUUCAUAUUUUACCUUCAAUUGUAGGCGUUUUGAAGAAUGCAUACCAGAAUACGUACCUAUCACUUACUAAUUAUGUUAUUAUUAAUGAAGCAAAUGGCUAAGUUACAAGACUUAUAUGUGGGCUAACUUUGUUCAGUUUGUUUUCUUUUGGUCUAAAAUACUGAAUAGUUAUGGAGGAUAAUAUGCUGGAGAGACUCUUUAAAAUUGUAAAAGUUGGUUUCUGUUUUAUACAGACCCCAGGUAUGUAGACUCAUGUAGGUAGGAUAGGGCAUUGGGGCAAGUGUCCAGCUUUAACCUGGAUGUUCACAUACACACAAGUGUACACAAGGACGUACCCACCUUUUGAGCUGCUGUGAGCAGGGGAGUUGUGUAUGGAGGAGACAUACAUGUUUCCUACAUGCACAGAUGGUGUUGAAUUCAGGCACACUGAACUUUUUGCUUGAGCACUUGUACUUCCCCUUCCUCCAGUGUGAGAGCCAGUGUGGUGUAGUGGUUAAGAGCGGUGGACUCGUAAUCUGGUGAACUGGGUUCACUUCUCCGCUCCUCCACAUGCAGCUGCUGGGCGACCUUGGGCUUGUCACACUUCUUUGAAGUCUCUCAGCCUCACUCACCUCACAGAGUGUUUGUUGUGGUGGAGGAAGGGAAAGGAGAAUGCUAGCUGCUUUGAGACUCCUUGGGGUAAGUGAUAAAGCGGGAUAUAAAAUCCAAACUCUUCUUCUUCUUCUCCUUAUCAUAUGAGAAAACCUGCUGCAGGCCUUCAUUAAGAGCCUUUUCAGGGAACCUUAUAGAACUUUGUUAACAAAGUUACCAAUGCUUAUGUGGAAUUCAGUACGCAACCUUUUACAGACACCCACGAUCCUUUUUUGUGGUGGAAGGAUUGGACAAGCAGGGCAAGUGUGUGUGUGUGUGUGUGUGUGUGUGUGUGUGUGUGUGCAUGCAUAUAUAAAACUUGCUACAUUUUUUUCAAAUGGUUCUAUAUUGACCCUUCAGUUAGCUGGUCUUCUACACUCACCACUAUCAAGCUACCUCGUGUUCAACUCGCGUCUGAUCUUGUAAGUGCUAGUUUUACUCUGAGCCCAUAAAACUGUAUUUUCUAUAUGGCCUUCUUUGUGCUUCUUUACAGCCAGUGGUGUCCUAUUCUAGUGUAUUCUACAGUUGCCAUAUUUCAAAAGGUGGAAACCUGGACUCAACACUUGUAGAGCUUUUUGCAAUAUCUCC